Molecule: long non-coding RNA, 304 nt
Organism: Saccostrea cuccullata (small rock oyster)
Lineage: Eukaryota; Metazoa; Mollusca; Bivalvia; Ostreida; Ostreidae
Exons: 3
Source: RefSeq, a predicted model, not a curated record
ACCGACAUGAUUAUGCAACCAUUUAGUCAGCUAACCUUUCUCCUGAUUAUUGCAGUUUCAAUCAAGAACAUCCAUAGUGAAUCGUGUGAAGAUAAGAUAUCUGACUGUGCUGAAUACACAAAGGAAUCAUGUAAACCUCCUUAUCUCACCUGGGCUCAACAGAACUGUCCUGCAUAUUGUGGAUUCUGUAGAAGGCAGUGCGUGGACAAUAGAAGCGAUUGCCAUGAAUUCGGGAUUUCAGCAUGUUUACCAUUGUAUAAGACUUGGGCCAAGCAAAACUGCGCUGCUUAUUGUGGAUAUUGCG